Molecule: long non-coding RNA, 406 nt
Filed under: Bos taurus (domestic cattle)
Lineage: Eukaryota; Metazoa; Chordata; Mammalia; Artiodactyla; Bovidae
Description: long non-coding RNA NONBTAT017203
Source: RNAcentral
GUUUAACUCUUGUAGGCUUGUUUGGCUGGUAUGUGCCAAAGGCUGUUCACUCAUUUCUGUUUUUGCUGCACAACCUCACAACUUAAAAACAGGCCACAUUUAUAAACUAACACUGUUCCCUAUAUUCAACGUGUUUAUGACUCCAGGCAAUCCAAGUCCAAACAUAUUUUAUAAGCCAUGAUUUUAAAACAAAUCUUGAGGUUAUAUUCCAGAUGUGUAAAGAAGUUCUUUAGCAAAACAACUUACCAUCUGGGGGCCUGUAUGUAUUUACAUGAAGGGCAUGAAAGCACCAAAGAGACACUGGAGAACUUGCCUUUGAGGUUACAGUACAGAACGCAAGCACAUCAUGAGAAUUGCCAGGGCCCUUGCUGGAACCUUGUUAAUUAAAGCUCUUAGUUGAACAAUU